Molecule: ribosomal RNA, 507 nt
Filed under: Triticum aestivum (bread wheat)
Lineage: Eukaryota; Viridiplantae; Streptophyta; Magnoliopsida; Poales; Poaceae
Description: partial small subunit ribosomal RNA
Source: RNAcentral
AUGGAACAGCUAGUGGUGAAGCAAACAGAUGGGGAUAUCAAAAGGAAUAGGCUGCGUCUUAGAUUAACCGUUGAUUCACUACGGUGGUUAGCAUUCCAAGCUUGCCCCUUCCAAGGACAUGAUGAAAGUCUUGAUUCGAAGAACCAAGGUAAUUUCCUUGAAAUGGUGAAACUGAUAGCUUCUUAUGAUGAGUAAAUUGGUGUUGUAGUGUUGGGUAAUGCUCCAGGCAAUGCUAAGCACACAUCGCCUACAAUUCAAAAAGAACUUCUAGGUAGCAUUGCUUCUAAGGUGCAAAGUGAAAUUCGUAAAGAAAUAGGAGAUGCUAAGUUCUGCAUGCUUGUCAACGAGUCAAGAGAUGAAUCCAAAAGAGAGCAAAUGGCAGUAGUUAUUCGUUUUGUUGAUAAACCUGGUUUCACUCAUGAACGUUUUCUUGAUAUUGUUCAUGUUGUUGAUACAUCUUUGGCUACUCUAAAAGAAGAGAUAUGUUCUGUUUUGGUUCAACGUUAG